UUCAUCCGAUUUGGACAAGUUGAAUAUUUCACCUGAUCUGUUUUUGUGGGGCUUUAAGGUGUGCAGCAUAAGAAGACUUCAUCACGUUCCUAGUCCUACAAUUUUAGAACUACAAACUUUCUGGAUUUUCUUGCCUUGACUUGUGAAUAACAAUUCAUAUUAUCUUUCUUCCUGCUCACGCAGGCACAGCAAACGUACAACGGAGAACACGUUGUGAGUAUCAGGAGAAAUGCCGCAGGUUCAAGUCAUCACUUAAGCUAGCAGAAAUUUUCUUUGACCCAAGAUACGACAGAUGUUUCUGCACGGAGUGCCACGCAGCCCGAGGGGACAAUCUUUACUACAAUCGAGGAAAACCUGCAAAGGACUACGGGAUUCCAAUAGGAUGGUGUCGGUUUGGGCUCAAGGUUCAGCCUCGAGCUAACGCUCUGGACGUGUUUAACAAAUGGCAUGUGGCAUUCCACGGCACAAGAGUAGACAGUGUUAACGCGAUCUUGGAAUGCGGUGAUCUUCUUAUGCCAGGUGAUGUCGCGCUCGGAGGAAAAAAGUUAAGCGAGGUAGAUGGACAUUUUAAUGAUAGCAGAAAGCCAAAAGGAUUUGACACAAAACAGA
Molecule: long non-coding RNA, 609 nt
Organism: Orbicella faveolata
Lineage: Eukaryota; Metazoa; Cnidaria; Anthozoa; Scleractinia; Merulinidae
Source: RefSeq, a predicted model, not a curated record